Molecule: ribosomal RNA, 420 nt
Filed under: uncultured bacterium
Lineage: Bacteria
Description: partial 16S ribosomal RNA
Rfam family: Bacterial small subunit ribosomal RNA
Source: RNAcentral
AUAUUGGACAAUGGGCGUAAGCCUGAUCCAGCCAUGCCGCGUGUGUGAAGAAGGUCUUCGGAUUGUAAAGCACUUUAAGUUCGGAGGAAGGGCAGUAAGUUAAUACCUUGCUGUUUUGACGUUACCGACCGAAUAAGCACCGGCUAACUUCGUGCCAGCAGCCGCGGUAAUACGAAGGGUGCAAGCGUUAACCGGGAUUACUGGGCGUAAAGCGCGCGUAGGGGGUUUGUUGAGUUGGAAGUGAAAACCCCGGGAACAAACCGGGGACUGGCUUCAAAACUGGCAAACUAGAGGAUGGCAGAGGGGGGUGGGAUUUCCCGGGGAGGGGAGAAAUGCGUAAAUAUAGGGAAGAACCCCAGUGGCGAAAGCCACCAACUGGGCUAAUACUUACCAUGAAGUGGGGAAGAGUGGGGAGCCAAC